Molecule: ribosomal RNA, 253 nt
Filed under: uncultured bacterium
Lineage: Bacteria
Description: partial 16S ribosomal RNA
Rfam family: Bacterial small subunit ribosomal RNA
Source: RNAcentral
UACGUAGGGUCCGAGCGUUGUCCGGAAUUACUGGGCGUAAAGAGCUCGUAGGUGGUUUGUCGCGUUGUUCGUGAAAACUCACAGCUCAACUGUGGGCGUGCGGGCGAUACGGGCAGACUGGAGUACUGCAGGGGAGACUGGAAUUCCUGGUGUAGCGGUGGAAUGCGCAGAUAUCAGGAGGAACACCAGCGGCGAAGGCGGCGCUCUGGGCCGGUACUGACGCUGAGGAGCGAAAGCGUGGGGAGCAAACAGG